GGUCUUGUGAGCCGGGCAAGGCCCGCCUAUAUUGGCCUUGUGCGGGGCAACCCGGACUAUGGUGAUAAACGCACCUGUAAUAGACGGCUCGGACCCGGGGGCGGUACCCGGCGACUCCACCAUUCCACCCGUUCGUUUCGGGGGUUCGGGGUCGAAAUAGGAUCGACGAACGUUCAAAGAGGCCAGCUUUUACUCGGUGAGGUACCACCGUUAUCGGUCCAAAUGUACAGUUGCAAACGACAACCGUGCUCCGAUGGCUCUUGCUGCGUAAGCAGUUCGAACAUCGAAACUUAAGUCCUUGCGCUUAGCCGCGUAAGGCGGGGUUCGCAGGUACCUGGCAACAGAAACCUGCACC
RNAcentral lists this transfer-messenger RNA (355 nucleotides) under Pseudotabrizicola sp. It matches the Rfam family "Alphaproteobacteria transfer-messenger RNA". From Rfam's summary of the family: Bacterial tmRNA, also known as 10Sa RNA or SsrA, is named for its dual tRNA and mRNA-like properties. Its role is to liberate the mRNA from a stalled ribosome. Lineage: Bacteria; Pseudomonadati; Pseudomonadota; Alphaproteobacteria; Rhodobacterales; Paracoccaceae. The record is from RNAcentral.